This 461-nucleotide long non-coding RNA is filed under the name Vigna radiata. RNAcentral describes it as "long non-coding RNA (VRAD_LNC006930)". The record is from RNAcentral. Lineage: Eukaryota; Viridiplantae; Streptophyta; Magnoliopsida; Fabales; Fabaceae.
AUAUAUAUAUAUAUAUAUAUAUAUAGGGGUUUGCUAACUUGCGUACGCCUGUUUUUCAGUUGGUACAUUUUAGCAAUGUGUACCGGGUUUCAGUAGACAAAACUAUCCUUAUAUCAUGAAUUCUGAAUUUUAAGGUUAAGGAUAUUUUAAUAAUUUUCAUUCUUAAAACUAAAAAAAUAAAAAAACCCUUAAACUCUUACCCACCUCUCUCAUCCCUCUCAACCUUUUCUCUUUCAUCUCUUUCACUCCAACCUUUUCUCUGUUAUCCCUACUCUAGUCUCAAUUGAAAAAAAAUCAGAAACACUUGCCUUAUUUUAAUAAUUUUCAUUCUCAAAACUAAAAAAAAGAAACCCCAAACCCUUACUCACCUCCUUCAUUCCUCUCAACCUUUUCUCCUUCGUCUCUCUCACUUAAACAUAUAUAAAAGACUAAUAUUUGAAAUAAUGUAAUAAAAAUUCAAC